CCGGUCUUAGCUCAGUUGGUAGAGCACGUGACUGUAGAGGUUGCAUUCAUCAUGGGGUCGCUGGUUCGAUUCCGGCAGACCGGA
This 84-nucleotide transfer RNA is filed under the name Haematococcus lacustris. RNAcentral describes it as "Haematococcus pluvialis tRNA". It matches the Rfam family "tRNA". Rfam says of the family: Transfer RNA (tRNA) molecules are approximately 80 nucleotides in length. Their secondary structure includes four short double-helical elements and three loops (D, anti-codon, and T loops). Further hydrogen bonds mediate the characteristic L-shaped molecular structure. tRNAs have two regions of fundamental functional importance: the anti-codon, which is responsible for specific mRNA codon recognition, and the 3' end, to which the tRNAs corresponding amino acid is attached (by aminoacyl-tRNA synthetases). tRNAs cope with the degeneracy of the genetic code in two manners: having more than one tRNA (with a specific anti-codon) for a particular amino acid; and 'wobble' base-pairing, i.e. permitting non-standard base-pairing at the 3rd anti-codon position. The record is from Rfam by way of RNAcentral. Lineage: Eukaryota; Viridiplantae; Chlorophyta; Chlorophyceae; Chlamydomonadales; Haematococcaceae.